This 253-nucleotide ribosomal RNA is filed under the name uncultured bacterium. RNAcentral describes it as "partial 16S ribosomal RNA". It matches the Rfam family "Bacterial small subunit ribosomal RNA", at positions 524 to 776 of the family's 1533-position model. The record is from RNAcentral.
UACAGAGGUCUCAAGCGUUGUUCGGAUUCAUUGGGCGUAAAGGGUGUGUAGGUGGCGCGCUAAGUCGGGUGUGAAAUUUCGGAGCUUAACUCCGAAACUGCAUUCGAUACUGGCGUGCUUGAGGACUGGAGAGGAGACUGGAAUUCAUGGUGUAGCAGUGAAAUGCGUAGAGAUCAUGAGGAAGACCGGUGGCGAAAGCGCUCUGCUAGGCCGCAACUGACACUGAGGGACGAAAGCUAGGGGAGCGAAUGGG